This 505-nucleotide long non-coding RNA is filed under the name Phascolarctos cinereus (koala). Its description in RNAcentral is "lncRNA (ENSPCIG00000033147.1)". The record is from RNAcentral. Lineage: Eukaryota; Metazoa; Chordata; Mammalia; Diprotodontia; Phascolarctidae.
ACCUGUUUGACUUUCCAGAAAGAGCAAAGCAAAAGACAGAAGAAGAGGUCGUGUGUAUUUGAGACUGGUGCUUUUCUUUCAAGGAAAGGUUCUGAGGCUGCCAAGAACAUUGCUGAAAGUCACUGGAAAUUAGGACAACUCCUUUCCAGGUACAGUAAUUAAGCAACAGAUAUCAGUUGCCAAAAUAGAACUGGCCUAGAAAAUUUCACUCAAAGUUAAGCAAUUCAUCGAGAAUCCUUUAUUAUUUUUUAAGAUAUAAAUAUAUAUCUUUUCAUCAUUGUUCUCUUUGAUAAUUUUUUCAUCUUCAUAUUAAUAUUUUAAAUGCGUAUCUAAUGACAAGUCAAGUAGUAACCUAUUCUUGCCUGUUGACUAAUGAACCUGUCUUAGAUAUAUUCUGUGGAUUAACAUAGGCAUCCUUUUGUAACUAUGAGUUGCAAUCACUAUCUUUAUCAAGGGUUUUUAGUGCUCCUAUAAUUUCGCUUUGCUAUAUUAAGUUCUGCUGUUU